UUGACGAGGUGGGCUGUGGGUCAGAAUCGACGUACCCAUCUGAUCCGUGGAACAGAUCCUGUCUAAAAAAAGAAAUUCACUUUCCGUUCGGUGGGUUCACACAGAAAAUUGGUUGCCAUUAGGGCGGAGCUCAUUUGGGAGUUGGGGACUGGGUCGUAGAGAGAAGGAGCGCCAGCGGCGAGGCACCAUGGAGUUCCUGCUGCAGCCGAUGCGCGGAUCCACUUUCCCUGGAGGAGGUCGCAGAGAGCUUGGUGCCGCCCCCUCUGCCGGCAGCGGCGACGGGAGGCGAUAUGGUGGCGGAGCAGGAGGUGGUGGAGCAGGAACGGGCGGUGGACAGCGCUGAAGCUCAGAUCUUGGUGGCCAGGGUAGCGACGGCCGCGGACAGGAGAGAGCUCACCCCCAACGUCGAAGUUGUCAACUGGGAAGAUGAAUCCCCGGGCGCCUGGAUGGAAUAAGAGGUUUGUGGUGGAUUUGAGCUUGCAGUCAUUAAUUUAGGGCUGCAAAAGAAAGAACUUUUGAGGAGUGGAAAAUUCCCGCCAUUAGUAGGUGUUUGCAGUAACUUAGUGUUGGAUUUAUACUCGCAGUCAGUAAAACUAGGUAUGUAGAUGAAAGUUACGAUGAGUGGAGUAGAACAACUAGUGAGUUGGCUCCGCUUGCAGGCCGAGGAUAGUGCUGCUGCACCAAGCAGAACACCGUGCCCAAACCAUGGGCAAAGCCGCGUGCUGCGAAACAUGUGCAAAUGCGGUUACGAGCAUCAAAUAUCUUGUCAGCAAACUAAAACAUCUCAAGCUGGAUGUGCUCGCGUGCAGUUGCAAGGUGCGAGAAGCAACGAGCAUUUAUUUCCUUGAGUAGGACUAUCAUCUCAUCGCUCGACUGGAACAUGAAAUGGGAGUUUGCAGUGAUACAGAGCGUACGAGUGAGUCCACAACCAAAAUUAAUGCUUUAGAAAAUGUGUACAAAAAGUUGAGGCACAAGAUAAUUUGCCAGGUGGGGAUACUGCCUCCAUAAAUAAUUGGUGAAAUUCAUCGGCCCUAGAAGACUUAUGGUCAUCGGAAUCAGUUCAUCAAUCAAAUGGUGUGCAGAUGUAGGGCUGGGAACAUCCCUCUGAGAUGUCCUGGCUGUGCUACCACCACAUGACGAAGCUGGCUAGAACGGAGGUUUUGCCGUGUUCCUUGACGCUAACUGCUCCACUGCGGAGUGCUUGGAAUGGGCGUAACACAUGGUGGAGAUGUGGCGUAACUACACGAUGUGGGUAGUUCUAGGAGAAUCAGAAAUAACAUUUAAAAAGAAGCAGCACAUCCGUGAGGGAUGGCUAGCACUUACCGGUGCGCCGGCAUAAGAUGGGGUCGUCUUGCCAACAUCUGUAGCCAUGGUUAUCAUUCUCUGGAUUGAGUCUUGGUCAAACACAUUUACCCUCGGCAACACAGAAUAUUGCUUGUUGAACAUCCCAAGGUCGAGAUUGUCCAGCAGGAAUAUCCGUGAGUGCUAUAAAUCGUUAGCCACAAGAAAUAGCAGGUAACUAAUGUCAUGAAUUUGGGGAUUUGGUGUCUGAUUUUUGCUGCACAUUUUUUUUUGUUUUCCUGCUCUGCUAGUUCUUAGUUCAAUUCCAUAAACAUAAAGAGGAUGUCUCGUCAGUCAUCACAGUGUGGAUUCCUUUUGUACUUGUUGAUUGUAUUCUUUGGAGUCCAAAUCAGUUUCUGUGGUUGUUACUAGCGCUUGUUUGUUUGAUAUAAUAACAUAGGCCUUAUUUGUGCUAGAAAGUAUCCUUUGCAACAAUGGGUUUGAAAUUAUUUAGGAUGAAGUAUCAGAUAAUGAGAAAAAUCUAAGCUACAUUGUUCAUGAGCGGUCAAAUAAAAAAACACAUGGUAUUCUUUGGCAUGACUUAGUGCUGCUCAACAAAAAAAAAUCUCAGCAGAAAAACUGGAACCACAUUCUCAGUCAGCAUUAUCCGCGCUUAAGAAGAAUUCUUGGAGAUGGCAGUUGUUUCUACAGAGCAUUCUUUUCUCCUAGUACUUGGUAACUAUCUCAGUUACUUGUUUUUGAUGAUGCCACUUUUCUAUUUUGCACAGAAGUUUAAUACCUCGAGGCUUUAAACAGGAAAACCUUGGAUUAAUGCAAGAUGGUCACGCUGAAGUUACUCGUCAGUCGUCUAAUGGAACAUGUGGCUAUGUCCAGAGAGAAUUUCUAUCGUCUGAAAUGGGAUAAAGCAUACUUCUUAACUCCUGAAGAAUACUUUUCAAGUGUUGUUUCUGGGGGUGGUUCCUGUCGGCAACAGGGACACAACAGGACAACCUGCCUGGAUCAUGGAGAUGUUCCAAAACAGCCUCGAAUACCUGCUCGGUGCAAGAACUGUAGUGUCAUGGGUCACUGACGAAGCAACUGUACGAAGGCCGCAUAACUAAGACUCCAAAACGACUGCUGAAAGAGCAUUCUAGGCGAUGAUGAGUGCACUGAUUAGAGGGUUGCAUCAAUUUAGUGACGAAACAUUAAGAAGCAAUUCAUAUCUGUUUGUCUGUGUGUUGUAGUUUUCACAUUAUUGUUUUCUGCCGGUGCUAGAAUAAGGACCAUUGUAUUUCUAUGUGUUGUUUCUUGUUAAUAGUAGAUUCAUGGUGUUGUGUGUUUGAUGAAGUUGUUGAUCUCUUCGAACAUAUACCUUCAGCGCUUGCUAAUGAGCUGAAUUUGAUGGACUAAUUGGAAAUGAACCGAAUUUCUGGAAACAGGCAAACACUUGAGUCA
Molecule: long non-coding RNA, 2736 nt
Organism: Triticum aestivum (bread wheat)
Lineage: Eukaryota; Viridiplantae; Streptophyta; Magnoliopsida; Poales; Poaceae
Exons: 3
Source: RefSeq, a predicted model, not a curated record